GGAAAAAUACUAUUAAUAAUAGAAAAAGGACUAUAAUGAAAAUCCUAACUACCGAAAAAACAACAAUUUCAAGAUUCAAGGCCUCCUCAUAACUAAAAUAUAUGUCCACGAAGAACUGUUACACAUAGAUAUAUAUUUUUCUUUUACUACUACUAAUGUGACAAAUAAUCAUGGAAUGAAGCAAUAAUAAAAGAAAGCCCAUCAUUAUAAUUCUUGCCGUGACAAACCCCACGAAAAAAUUUCUUGUGGUGAAAUGAAUCCUCGACCGGAGCAAGAUCGUACAUAAUAAUCACACGGAACUAAUUAAGAUUUCUACAAGCGCGAGACCUGCGAGUUUAACGGGAAUAAAGACAUGGGAAUUGGCGGACGGGGUGUUUUCACUUUCUUCUUCAAUUUCUCAGAGGCGUUUUGCGUGCUUACAUCAGAUACACGUGUCGAUGAAGAGACGAAACAACUAAAGAAGUUCGAGUUAAAAAAAGACAUAUUGUAUAAAGUGAUCACUAUGAAAUAUGGUGUGGAGUAGUAUAUAUCAUGUGUUUUUGAUGAAAUGAAGAGAAUAUGCUAAAAUAUUGUAUGCUUAAGAAAUGAUGGGAUGUGGCUAUUUUAUAGUGAAUUCAUGAAAUAAG
This 626-nucleotide long non-coding RNA is filed under the name Erythranthe guttata (spotted monkey flower). RNAcentral describes it as "long non-coding RNA (EGUT_LNC001409)". The record is from RNAcentral. Lineage: Eukaryota; Viridiplantae; Streptophyta; Magnoliopsida; Lamiales; Phrymaceae.